AGAUUAAGUUAUUAAGGGCGCACGGUGGAUGCCUUGGCACUAGAAGCCGAUGAAGGACGUUACUAACGACGAUAUGCUUUGGGGAGCUGUAAGUAAGCUUUGAUCCAGAGAUUUCCGAAUGGGGAAACCCAGCAUGAGUUAUGUCAUGUUAUCGAUAUGUGAAUACAUAGCAUAUCAGAAGGCACACCCGGAGAACUGAAACAUCUUAGUACCCGGAGGAAGAGAAAGAAAAUUCGAUUCCCUUA
Molecule: ribosomal RNA, 245 nt
Filed under: Staphylococcus aureus
Lineage: Bacteria; Bacillati; Bacillota; Bacilli; Caryophanales; Staphylococcaceae
Description: partial 23S ribosomal RNA
Rfam family: Bacterial large subunit ribosomal RNA
Source: RNAcentral